AGAGUUUGAUCAUGGCUCAGAACGAACGCUGGCGGCAUGCCUAACACAUGCAAGUCGAACGCUCCGCAAGGGGAGUGGCGCACGGGUGAGUAACGCGUGGGAACCUGCCGAGGGGUGUGGGAUAACCGGUGGAAACGCCGGCUAAUACCGCAUACGUCCUAUGGGAGAAAGAUUCAUCGCCCUUCGAGGGGCCCGCGUCGGAUUAGCUAGUUGGCGGGGUAACGGCCCACCAAGGCGACGAUCCGUAGCUGGUCUGAGAGGAUGAUCAGCCACACUGGGACUGGGACACGGCCCAGACUCCUACGGGAGGCAGCAGUGGGGAGUAUUGGACAAUGGGGGCAACCCUGAUCCAGCAAUGCCGCGUGAGUGAUGAAGGCCUUAGGGUUGUAAAGCUCUUUCGGCGGGGACGAUGAUGACGGUACCCGCAGAAGAAGCCCCGGCUAACUUCGUGCCAGCAGCCGCGGUAAUACGAAGGGGGCAAGCGUUGUUCGGAUUUACUGGGCGUAAAGGGCACGCAGGCGGUUUUUCAAGUCGGGUGUGAAAGCCCCGGGCUCAACCUGGGAACUGCACUCGAGACUGAAGAACUAGAGUUCGGGAGAGGAUGGCGGAAUUCCCAGUGUAGAGGUGAAAUUCGUAGAUAUUGGGAAGAACACCGGUGGCGAAGGCGGCCAUCUGGACCGAGACUGACGCUGAGGCGCGAAAGCGUGGGGAGCAAACAGGAUUAGAUACCCUGGUAGUCCACGCCGUAAACGAUGUGCGCUAGACGUCGGGAAGCCUAGCUUUCCGGUGUCGCAGCCAACGCUUUAAGCGCACCGCCUGGGGAGUACGGCCGCAAGGUUAAAACUCAAAGGAAUUGACGG
Molecule: ribosomal RNA, 860 nt
Filed under: uncultured bacterium
Lineage: Bacteria
Description: bacterial SSU rRNA
Rfam family: Bacterial small subunit ribosomal RNA
Source: RNAcentral